This 447-nucleotide ribosomal RNA is filed under the name uncultured bacterium. RNAcentral's name for it is "bacterial SSU rRNA". It matches the Rfam family "Bacterial small subunit ribosomal RNA", at positions 30 to 477 of the family's 1533-position model. The record is from RNAcentral.
AUUGAACGCUGGCGGAAUGCUUUACACAUGCAAGUCGAACGGUAGAGGGGGCAACCCCUUGAGAGUGGCGAACGGGUGAGUAAUAUAUCGGAACGUGCCCAGUCGUGGGGAUAACGUAGCGAAAGUUACGCUAAUACCGCAUACGAUCUAAGGAUGAAAGCGGGGGAUCGCAAGACCUCGCGCGAUUGGAGCGGCCGAUAUCAGAUUAGGUAGUUGGUGAGGUAAAGGCUCACCAAGCCAACGAUCUGUAGCUGGUCUGAGAGGACGACCAGCCACACUGGAACUGAGACACGGUCCAGACUCCUACGGGAGGCAGCAGUGGGGAAUUUUGGACAAUGGACGCAAGUCUGAUCCAGCCAUUCCGCGUGCAGGAUGAAGGCCCUCGGGUUGUAAACUGCUUUGUACGGAACGAAAGGUUUGUCUUAAUACGAUGAGCUCAUGACGGUA